CCGUGCUAGAUGGGGAGUUGGCGGUGCCCUGUAACCCGCAAUCCGCCAUAGCGGGGUUGAACUCCUAUUUGAGGUAGGAACAUGUGAGGUCUGCCUUAUGAAAGCAGUGUUGAAAAUUGGGUCCUACGCAAUGGAAACCUACGAAAUUGGUCAGGUCUGGAAGGAAGCAGCCAUAAGUAGUGAUUUCGAUGUGCCGUGGGGCAGCCUAAUUAGAGCUAGCUUCCAUAAGUAACGCUUGGUUGUUUCUAUCAAUGAUAGGUGCACGG
Molecule: signal recognition particle RNA, 266 nt
Filed under: Peribacillus asahii
Lineage: Bacteria; Bacillati; Bacillota; Bacilli; Caryophanales; Bacillaceae
Description: signal recognition particle sRNA large type
Rfam family: Bacterial large signal recognition particle RNA
About the family: The signal recognition particle (SRP) is a universally conserved ribonucleoprotein involved in the co-translational targeting of proteins to membranes. Archaeal SRP consists of a 7S RNA and homologues of the eukaryotic SRP19 and SRP54 proteins.
Source: RNAcentral